This 1548-nucleotide ribosomal RNA is filed under the name Enterococcus faecium EnGen0184. RNAcentral describes it as "bacterial SSU rRNA". It matches the Rfam family "Bacterial small subunit ribosomal RNA". Lineage: Bacteria; Bacillati; Bacillota; Bacilli; Lactobacillales; Enterococcaceae. The record is from RNAcentral. RNAcentral also lists the same sequence under 1 other name.
AGAGUUUGAUCCUGGCUCAGGACGAACGCUGGCGGCGUGCCUAAUACAUGCAAGUCGAACGCUUCUUUUUCCACCGGAGCUUGCUCCACCGGAAAAAGAAGAGUGGCGAACGGGUGAGUAACACGUGGGUAACCUGCCCAUCAGAAGGGGAUAACACUUGGAAACAGGUGCUAAUACCGUAUAACAAUCGAAACCGCAUGGUUUUGAUUUGAAAGGCGCUUUCGGGUGUCGCUGAUGGAUGGACCCGCGGUGCAUUAGCUAGUUGGUGAGGUAACGGCUCACCAAGGCCACGAUGCAUAGCCGACCUGAGAGGGUGAUCGGCCACAUUGGGACUGAGACACGGCCCAAACUCCUACGGGAGGCAGCAGUAGGGAAUCUUCGGCAAUGGACGAAAGUCUGACCGAGCAACGCCGCGUGAGUGAAGAAGGUUUUCGGAUCGUAAAACUCUGUUGUUAGAGAAGAACAAGGAUGAGAGUAACUGUUCAUCCCUUGACGGUAUCUAACCAGAAAGCCACGGCUAACUACGUGCCAGCAGCCGCGGUAAUACGUAGGUGGCAAGCGUUGUCCGGAUUUAUUGGGCGUAAAGCGAGCGCAGGCGGUUUCUUAAGUCUGAUGUGAAAGCCCCCGGCUCAACCGGGGAGGGUCAUUGGAAACUGGGAGACUUGAGUGCAGAAGAGGAGAGUGGAAUUCCAUGUGUAGCGGUGAAAUGCGUAGAUAUAUGGAGGAACACCAGUGGCGAAGGCGGCUCUCUGGUCUGUAACUGACGCUGAGGCUCGAAAGCGUGGGGAGCAAACAGGAUUAGAUACCCUGGUAGUCCACGCCGUAAACGAUGAGUGCUAAGUGUUGGAGGGUUUCCGCCCUUCAGUGCUGCAGCUAACGCAUUAAGCACUCCGCCUGGGGAGUACGACCGCAAGGUUGAAACUCAAAGGAAUUGACGGGGGCCCGCACAAGCGGUGGAGCAUGUGGUUUAAUUCGAAGCAACGCGAAGAACCUUACCAGGUCUUGACAUCCUUUGACCACUCUAGAGAUAGAGCUUCCCCUUCGGGGGCAAAGUGACAGGUGGUGCAUGGUUGUCGUCAGCUCGUGUCGUGAGAUGUUGGGUUAAGUCCCGCAACGAGCGCAACCCUUAUUGUUAGUUGCCAUCAUUCAGUUGGGCACUCUAGCAAGACUGCCGGUGACAAACCGGAGGAAGGUGGGGAUGACGUCAAAUCAUCAUGCCCCUUAUGACCUGGGCUACACACGUGCUACAAUGGGAAGUACAACGAGUCGCGAAGUCGCGAGGCUAAGCUAAUCUCUUAAAGCUUCUCUCAGUUCGGAUUGCAGGCUGCAACUCGUCUGCAUGAAGCCGGAAUCGCUAGUAAUCGCGGAUCAGCACGCCGCGGUGAAUACGUUCCCGGGCCUUGUACACACCGCCCGUCACACCACGAGAGUUUGUAACACCCGAAGUCGGUGAGGUAACCUUUUGGAGCCAGCCGCCUAAGGUGGGAUAGAUGAUUGGGGUGAAGUCGUAACAAGGUAGCCGUAUCGGAAGGUGCGGCUGGAUCACCU